UACGUAGGUGACAAGCGUUGUCCGGAUUUACUGGGCGUAAAGAGCGCGCAGGCGGUCGUUCAAGUCGAGUGUGAAAGCCCCCGGCUCAACUGGGGAGGGUCAUUCGAUACUGAUCGACUCGAAGGCAGGAGAGGGAAGUGGAAUUCCCGGUGUAGUGGUGAAAUGCGUAGAUAUCGGGAAGAACACCCGUGGCGAAGGCGGCUCUCUGGGACGGUACUGACGCUGAGACGCGAAAGCGUGGGGAGCGAACAGG
Molecule: ribosomal RNA, 253 nt
Filed under: uncultured bacterium
Lineage: Bacteria
Description: partial 16S ribosomal RNA
Rfam family: Bacterial small subunit ribosomal RNA
Source: RNAcentral